Long non-coding RNA from Cucurbita maxima (winter squash), 607 nucleotides. RefSeq lists it as uncharacterized. NCBI's taxonomy places the organism in Eukaryota, Viridiplantae, Streptophyta, Magnoliopsida, Cucurbitales, Cucurbitaceae. The record is from RefSeq and is a predicted model, not a curated record. The transcript has 5 exons.
UCGUAGUUAUGGAUUUCGAUGAAUAAUUCUCGUGAGGUUCGCGAUUUGAUACAUUCCGCAGCGUACGAUCCGAAUCAUGGAUACUUCGUUCAGCGGUAACGGUCGGUUGGAGUUAUGGAACAGAGCAUCACGUUCAAUCAGCUUGAAGCCUUGGUAUGCCCAUGGGAUUGCUGAAGCAAUCAUGCGUACUGCCAAUCUUUCUAUUCCACUGAAAGAGACGUGGAAGAGCAGCCGUGUUGGGUAAUUAUGCUUGAGGUUCUGGACAAUCUUCCAUUAUCUUAUGUACUCACAAAAUCAAGUUUCCUCUUGGAUGGAAGUAUGGGUGGAAAAGCAAGUUGAUAGGAAGACAGUAACAGAAUUAGAUGGUUAGGACCUAAAUGGGGAUAUGAUCAUCGAGUGGGCUGCAAACGCUGAAGAGCGGUUUGGAAGUUUUCUUUUAUGGCUCUAUGGACAACGAUUAUUGUGGUAAAAGUCGUAAUUUUUCUCAACAACAUGUGAAGCGUUUUAAAAUCGGAUAAGAAUAUAAAAACUUAUCCCUAGCAGAUGCGUUUUUCAAAUCGUAAAGUUGAGUAGACAAGGGCUUCGCUGUCGUAAUUCCUGAGAAAUU